This 279-nucleotide ribosomal RNA is filed under the name uncultured bacterium. RNAcentral describes it as "partial 16S ribosomal RNA". It matches the Rfam family "Bacterial small subunit ribosomal RNA", at positions 506 to 784 of the family's 1533-position model. The record is from RNAcentral.
UGCCAGCCGCCGCGGUAAUACGGAGGGUGCAAACGUUGCUCGGAAUCAUUGGGCGUAAAGCGCACGUAGGCGGCCAUGUAAGUUGGGUGUGAAAGCCCAGGGCUCAACCCCGGAAGUGCAUUGGAAACUGGCGAACUUGAGUACGGGAGAGGAAAGUGGAAUUCCGAGUGUAGGGGUGAAAUCCGUAGAUAUUCGGAGGAACACCAGUGGCGAAGGCGGCUUUCUGGACCGAUACUGACGCUGAGACGCGAAAGCGUGGGGAGCAAACAGGAUUAGAUA